AUAGAGGCAGGUUCAGAAUGCAAUUUCACCCGUUACACGCCGUUCCACCGCAGGGCGGGGAGCUCAGGGGGCGGCCGCCUCCCCGCCGGUCCGAGCCCACACGAAGUCCAUUUACUUGAGCGGGAUGAAGCGCGACGAGUGAGUCGCGCCGAUACCCGGGCGGCCGUGCUUCACGGGCUUGUAGGAGAUGGAGAACUCAGCCAGGUAGUGGCCGACCAUCUCGGGCUUAAUCUCCACCUGGUUGAAGGUCUUGCCGUUGUAGACGCCCACGACGGAGCCAAUCAUCUCCGGCACCACAAUCAUGUUGCGCAGGUGCGUGCGCACAGGCUCCGGCUUCUCGCCGCUGGCCGCCAGCUUCUUCACCUUGCGGAGCUUGACGAUGAAGGACUGGUGCUUCCGCUUCAGACCGCGCUGGAAGCGGCGGCGCUGACGAGCGGCGAACAGCUGAACGUAGUCGCUGGUCUUCAUGUCCAGCAGCUGGUCCAGGUCCACCCCGCGAUAGGUGAACUUGCGGAAAGUGCGCUUCUUGUCACCGGCGGCGUCAGCCAUCUUGCCUAGCUUUUGAAACUACGAGCCUGACGGCGAGAGAAAGAGGAAGGAGCAGGCGAGGGCCUCGCUCCUGUGCACACCGCCGCCAGGGCGCGGGGGCGCCCAUCGCGAUCCCCAUGUCCAUUUUCAUAGCCGGCUUUCGCACUAAAUAUAAUUUAUGUUGCUCAUUCAAAGUGUGAGCUUUACGUUAUAUAGGGCUAAACAAGGGAAAACCCCUCCUAGACCAGACUCCACUUCGCUCCCGAGCUCGCGCCAAAAAUGCAGACCCAGCUAACGGCUCGCGCACAGACUGCUGCUCCCUUCCGGUGCGCUGCUCGAAACGGUGCUUCAGCGCGACUUGGGCUCUGUCGCGCAUCAAACCUCUCAUAUCCUUGCCCGCGCGCGUCGCUGCUCGGAUGCAGGGGCAUCGCGGCGCAGCGCACUCGCGUGAGGACCCAGGCGCUGUUUGGCUUCGGGUGAGGCACGAUUCGAGCGGGGCGAGUGAAAGCGAAGCUCUCAUCCAUCCCGACGAGCGAUGAGGGUCGCCAGGAAGCGAAAAGGGUCGCGAUGGUCGCUACGCUAUGUGGCCUUGCUUAUGGGGAGUCACGCGGGCUACCGGGUGGAGUUUGUGUUGUAUGUCGGGGUUUCAGUCUCGCAACAUCCCCCACACCAUCCCGCCGGUUGCACGAGCCCUUCGUUGUCCAUGCAUGGAUGAAGCAAAAACCCUGAUAGCCUCUAUCCAUGUGCAUGUGUGUGUGGCCGCUUGCAGCAAGUCCAAGAAGGAGGUGGAUGAGGAGAAGGAGGAGGAGUUCCGGAAGCAGCAGGUGGGCAAGCGUGGCGUGAGUGCUUGGAAGUGGACGGGCUGUGUACAGUGUUGUGUAGUGGGGAGCGCCCUGGGGCGUGCAGUCUCCAAAACCCGCCAUGGCCCACAGCCAUGUAGGCCCACAGCCAUGCAGGAGUCCCUGGACUGGUAACGGCCGUUGCCUGCCGCCUGCCAGUACUGCAUUCCUGCUCAGCGUCACGCUGCCCCUUGGCUGCCCGCAUGUCUCCCGCCCUCCAAUAAGACCACAUACCCGUAUUGCUGCUUCGCUCACAUCAUCACCUGUUAUCGUGUUUCCUAACUCAAUAGGAACUGAUCCAGAAGCGCAAGAGCGGCGUGCUCAUCAAGGAGGCCAACGACCGCCGCCGCAAGGUUGCGGUGAGUGCUCGCUCCUCAUCAUGUGUGCACGGCUGGGGGCGGGGGCGGGGGCGGGGGCACACACACACGCACGGACGCCUGGUGCUGCGCAAGGGGCGGCUGGCCAGGAUUGCACCUCUGUGGCUGGCCCAGGCCCGUGCGCCAUGCAUUGGGGGCUGGGGGCACACACACAGCCAUUCAUGAGGCCGUCGAAGGGGCGGCUGCAUACGGUGAUGCGCUAUGGGUUCGCACCGACAGCGCUGGGGGAGGGGGGUCGUGGCGGGGGCCACACACCGCCGCAUGCACCACACGCAGUGUGGUCACACACAUGCGGUCCGGGCACGUCUCUUCUCGCCCACACGCCUCCUCUCACUCCCCACCUCUUCCCCGCGCCCCCACCCCCGCCUGUGCUGCCUCUCGCGUUUGGCUCGGUCCACCUGUUGCACGCCCUCACCCCCCCCCCUAUGCGACUGUACCUGCCUACCACUUCACUUCUUAGUGAUCAUGAGUGUAAACCCCCCCUCACCCGCCACUCCCGCUCUCGGUGCGCACGCGGUGUCACCCACUCCCACUCCCACGCCCACGCCCACACCCCCACAGGAGACGCUGCAGGAGCGCAAGAACCUGCGCGCGGCGGAGAAGGAGGCCCUGGCGCGCGGCGAGAUGCCGGAGACCCUGCAGGGCUGGAAGGUGGGGGGCCGCUAGGGGGAUGGUGGUGGCGGUUAGUUCGUUACAAUCCCUAAGAAACCAAGACCCAGAGCCGACAGAGCGCGGGGCUAGAAGGGGGCUGGAAGGGGCCGGCCGCUGGGGGGUGCGGGCAUGGGGGCCCUCCAGGGCGGCAUUUAGAGGGGUGACGGUAGGGGCCAGCGGCGCCUGGGCGAGGUGGCGCCGGGGGUAAGGGAAGGGGACGGGCGAGCGGGCGAACGCGAGGUGCAGUGACAUGCAGACCAUGAGGGCGCUGGUCGGAAGAGCGGCACAAUCACCCACUUGGCGGGCUGGUGGUGGUGGUGGUGGUGGUGCAUGGUGGCGGUGGUGUGGGGUUGGGCUGGGCUGGGUGGCUGGCUGGCAGUAGGGCGCCAGUGGCCCUACGUGCCCUACUUUGCCUCUUCUUCACCCAUCCAUGACAC
This 2832-nucleotide long non-coding RNA is filed under the name Chlamydomonas reinhardtii. RNAcentral's name for it is "long non-coding RNA (CREI_LNC000685)". Lineage: Eukaryota; Viridiplantae; Chlorophyta; Chlorophyceae; Chlamydomonadales; Chlamydomonadaceae. The record is from RNAcentral.